GGAAGGAAGGAAGGAAGGAAGGGAGGAAGGAAGAAAGAAAGAAAGAAAAAAGGAAAGAAAGAAAGGAAGAAAGAAAGAAAGGGAGAAAAGAAAGAAGCUACCAUCACAGCUACAGCAUCACAGAGAAUCACAGCCCCACAAGUUCAGUCACUCCUUCACAACCACAGACACAUACACACAAAGCAUCAGAUUCUCAUACAACCUCACACAAGUCAUAGCAUCACAAGCCCUCAAUCACAAACACUGCAUUACAACCACAUAGGACACAGUCACACACAAGUCAUCAUCAGAGCCUCAGUCACCCACACAGGCCAUACAGUCACACCACGUGUGACACACAGGAUACAACGCUUCUCACAUCAGACUUCCAUAGGCUGUCUCACAGUCACACCCAUUACACACAGAGCAUCACAACGGCACACACACAAAUACACACACAGCCUCAAGUUCCUCCUAGCCAAGACAUAUACAUACUGAGGUGAGGACCAGACUUAGUCUGUAGCCCUGGUCCCCUUGACCACUGGUCUUGGAAAUAAAUGGUGAACUUUGCACUGGAUCUGUCUAGUUCAUAGGGGAAGGACGGCUCAUGAAGGCAUAGGGAUAGAUGGGAUGACCCACAAAGGUCACUUUUACAGCUGAGAAAUACGAACCCAGCUGGCUCAACUCCAUGCAGGAAGCUUAGCAGGGAAACCAGAGACCUGAUGCCCAGGUCUGCCUUAGCCUCAAAUCGACAAUUCCUGAGAAAGCAGGGGCUACACACUUCCAAGUACCCUAACUGCAGACCUCCAGCACAGAUUGGCAGUCUACCCAGCCAGGCGGAAGCUUGGAGUAACUGGGGGCAUGAAAGAGUGUGGGGCGGGGCAGAUAAUGAUAUGCAUACAAAUCAAAUGGUUUAUGCAAAUGAGCAUGGACCCAGGAAGUAAGACUUCCCUGGAGCCUAGGAUGAAGACUCAGACCUCAGAGGCGAAUGAAUCAUUCUUGUUAUUGUCGACAUUGUUGUUGACAUCGUUGCCUGGUACAGGGGUGAAGGGGGCUUGGUGAUCAGAUGGUCCUGGGUUCCAAGUCUACUCUACCACUUCCUGGCAGCGUGACCUGGAGCAAAUCCCAUCACUUCUCAGUACCUCUUAGGUAACAAGAGUCCUUACCUCCUAGGUUUAUUGUAAAGAUUAAAUCUGAUGAGGAAAAAGCCAUUUGGUAUGGUGCCUGGUACACAGUAAGAGAGCCAUACGUGUGUGAGUGCCCUAAGUGAUUUACAAAUGUUAAGGAGAGCAUUUGUCAGGCACGUCGCCUACGCCAGGCAUCUCGUGCAAGUCACACCUUUAUCUAGAUCCCUGGGCAGGAGCUGUUGUCGCCCCCAUGUUCCAGAUGCAGAGACUGAGGCAGGGAUGCGUCCCCCACUCUGCCUGCACCAAAGGCACACAGCUUCGUGCCUCUCUGCCUGUGUUGGGCUGGUGGGAGAUGAGACAGCCCCAGAUGCCCAGACCCCACCCAUGCUGGAGUUUCCUUUACUCUCAUCAUGGUCUUUCUGUUUCUGUGGCUUUAAUGAGGAGACCAAGGCGUGGGGAACUUAUCGAAGCCACCAGCUGUCACCAGCGUCUGCCUGGGGAUGGAACCUCUAAGUUUAGCCUCUGAAGAUCAUUCCUGGGAGGGGCCUUGAUUUCAGAUAAAGUGCAGGAGCAGCAAGGCCCCAGCCCAAGCCAGUGACCUACUUUACAACUUCUUAGAAGUCUAUCUACUUGAUUUCCGCUUUCACCUCUGGUGUCUUUUCAGAUUUCACCCUCCCGCCCCACCAACUCUCUCAAGACCCAAAGUCUGCUAUCCUCAGACUCCUUCCCAGCCCAGGGGCAGGAAACUCUCCUGCUUCUGUCCAUCUCUUGCCAGGAUCCAGAGAGCCUGUUUUGAGGAAAUACAAUCUUUUGAGAGCGGCCUCAGCUGACACAGACAGACCCUGCUCCUACUACAAACUCAUAGACAUGCUGAAUAAAGUAUAAUAAAAUACUACAACAUAUAGAUGAACUUGAAGAAAGAAACAUCCCUAGAUGCUUUUGGAAGAGAGAAAUUAAAGCCAGAGUGACAAUGGGGCGGGGGGGGAGAGGCUGUGGGUCAAGGGAGGGGGGGGGGGGGGGGGAUUGGUCCCAAAAGUAGACUCUAGGGGACAAAGAAAUGGGAAUGUGGUAACCCUUAGGGUCAGCGAUGUGGCUCAGAUCUAUAGGACACCAAGGAAAGGGAACUGGGGCCCCUGCCCAGAACCUGAAGCUUGGAAAAGUAGUCCAUUCUGAUUAAGGGGGUCUAGAAAAAGUCUACCUGUUAUGGGCAGGGAGAAGAGUCACCCACAAAGGAUGGAGACCUCAGACCUGCUUCACGUGUGAGUGCGUUUUGAGUCUCUACAGAAAGUGCAGGAAGCAUAAGACAAGCUCCUUGCGGUCAGGGAAUGUGUCUUGUUUUUUCCAUCUCAUAACCAGAACACAAUAGGUUCUCAGAUGAUUGCGGUUGAAUAAACUGACUGUGACUGACCUUGACCAACAGAAUGUUACGGAAAUUCCAGGAAUUCUAGACUCUAGUCCUCAGGAGGCCAAGUAGCUUCCAACGUUUGUCUUCUCGGAGCCCCGAGUGGCCAUGUGAAGAAGUACAGCUAUCCGGUGAGAGAGGAUGGGUGGAUGGAGAGCCCUGGAGGAUGAAAUGAUGUGAGAGGCAAUCCGUAUAGUUCCACCAGCCUCAGAUAAGCUGCCCCAAUCCAUAGGGCUGAAACUAACAUCCUCCCCAAGCCCUGCCGGGCCAACUCACAGAAUUAUGAGCAAAUUAAACACUUGUUUUACACCA
This is a long non-coding RNA of Aethalodelphis obliquidens (Pacific white-sided dolphin), 2820 nucleotides long. RefSeq lists it as uncharacterized. The record is from RefSeq and is a predicted model, not a curated record. Lineage: Eukaryota; Metazoa; Chordata; Mammalia; Artiodactyla; Delphinidae. The transcript is spliced from 2 exons.